CUGGGUUGAUGGUACUGGAGAAG
This 23-nucleotide non-coding RNA is filed under the name Cricetulus griseus (Chinese hamster). Lineage: Eukaryota; Metazoa; Chordata; Mammalia; Rodentia; Cricetidae. The record is from RNAcentral.